GUUACAUUGAUUAGGCGACGCUAGGCCGCUGACAUUCUUGUAAUCAAAAGUGUUUGUUUGGCACGGCUUCGGGACGCACGAGCUCUCACCCGAGCGCCCCUCUGCCGUUGUGGUGCACAGGGGGUUUGCGAAUGGUUUUGGUCGAGGGGCGCCUCCGUCCCGCUGCACGCCCGAGUGGGGCGGAGCUGGGCCGGGGCACCCCCGCCAGAGAUACGUUAAUGAUCCUUCCGCAGGUUCACCUACGGAAA
This 248-nucleotide unclassified non-coding RNA is filed under the name uncultured fungus. RNAcentral's name for it is "sequence contains ITS1". The record is from RNAcentral. Lineage: Eukaryota; Fungi.